Molecule: long non-coding RNA, 884 nt
Organism: Prunus dulcis (almond)
Lineage: Eukaryota; Viridiplantae; Streptophyta; Magnoliopsida; Rosales; Rosaceae
Exons: 3
Source: RefSeq, a predicted model, not a curated record
AGGUGAUUUUGCUUGUUCACUAAACGCACCAUUAAGAUUGCAGGGCCUGGAGGUUCGGGGUGGCCCAUUACAUGUGGUGCUAAGCAAACAGAGUAUUUGGUUCAUUUGGGGAAUAAUGAUUUUUGUCAUAUCCGAACUGCCCAGAACGAUGAAAUUGAUUGUCGUCAAUAUCUUUGUAUAACCACGUUUCAAAUUGUUGUUGGAGAAGGAGGAAGUUGUAUCAAGACCUUAGAUUCAACUGUUUUUCAUGUGGAUGUUAGGCACUCUGGUACUUUCUAUAUUACAUUCAGCUUCGCACCUGAGUGCGGGGAUUUUGAACCUAAAGAAGAAGAGGAGAGUGUAGAAACAAAGUGCAAGAGACAAGCUGUCGAGCAUGAAGUAUUAAAGCAGAAAAUAGCAAGCACGAAAAAGCCAAGCAUUUCAGAAUAUGGGUUGUAUUUGUUGAACCAAAGACAGAAAAUAGAUGAAAAAAAAAAAAAAAACAUAAACCCCCUCAAAAGACAGAUAGAUGGUUGGGAGAUAUAAACUUAGUUCCGACGACAUACUCUCUGAUUUUCAAUCAAUCUUCUAGAUUUCUGAGUGUUAAUGGAAUUCGUUGGUGGGUAGAUGGAAGACUUACAUCAAGUUGUUUUCUUAGAAAAAUUGUUUAAAAUUAACAAUUCUUUUAUUGUUUAAAUAUAAAAUAAAGUAAAAAACCACGAAAGUUGAGGGGUAAGGGGUGUUUUUUAUUUGGUGAUUGAUUUGAGACGUAUUUAUGUGUGUAUAGUAUAUAUACACGCACAUCUUAUGUUGAUGAUGCAUCUAUAACGAUGUGCAUUACAAACGUCAGUUACAAAGACACCCUCUCAAUGUCAGCACUUUAACACCCUCCCUGCGAUGUGUCA